GCCGGGCAAGGUGGCUCAUGCCUGUAAUCCCAGCACUUUGGGAGGCUGAGAUGGGUGGAUCACCUGAGGUCAGGAGUUUGAGACCAGCCUGGCCAACAUGGUGAAACCCCAUCUCUA
This 117-nucleotide non-coding RNA is filed under the name Nomascus leucogenys (northern white-cheeked gibbon). Lineage: Eukaryota; Metazoa; Chordata; Mammalia; Primates; Hylobatidae. The record is from Rfam by way of RNAcentral.